GAUGAACGCUAGCUACAGGCUUAACACAUGCAAGUCGAGGGGUAACGAGAGGAAAGCUUGCUUUCCUUGUCGACGACCGGCGCACGGGUGAGUAACGCGUAUCCAACCUGCCCCCAACUAGGGAAUAACCUUGCGAAAGUAAGACUAAUACCCUAUAAUUUCCUCAGAUGUCAUCUGACGAGGAAUAAAGAUUUAUCGGUUGUGGAUGGGGAUGCGUCUGAUUAGCUUGUUGGCGGGGUAACGGCCGACCAAGGCAACGAUCAGUAGGGGUUCUGAGAGGAAGGUCCCCCACAUUGGAACUGAGACACGGUCCGAACUCAUACGGGAGGCAGCAGUGAGGAAUAUUGGUCAAUGGGCGGAAGCCUGAACCAGCCAAGUAGCGUGCAGGAUGACGGCCCUAUGGGUUGUAAACUGCUUUUAUACAGGAAUAAAGUUAGCCACGUGUGGUUAUUUGUAGGUACUGUAUGAAUAAGGACCGGCUAAUUCCGUGCCAGCCGCCGCCGUAA
Molecule: ribosomal RNA, 506 nt
Filed under: uncultured bacterium
Lineage: Bacteria
Description: partial 16S ribosomal RNA
Rfam family: Bacterial small subunit ribosomal RNA
Source: RNAcentral